GAUGAACGCUGGCGGCGUGCCUAAUACAUGCAAGUCGAGCGAACAGACGAGGAGCUUGCUCCUCUGACGUUAGCGGCGGACGGGUGAGUAACACGUGGAUAACCUACCUAUAAGACUGGGAUAACUUCGGGAAACCGGAGCUAAUACCGGAUAAUAUAUUGAACCGCAUGGUUCAAUAGUGAAAGACGGUUUUGCUGUCACUUAUAGAUGGAUCCGCGCCGCAUUAGCUAGUUGGUAAGGUAACGGCUUACCAAGGCAACGAUGCGUAGCCGACCUGAGAGGGUGAUCGGCCACACUGGAACUGAGACACGGUCCAGACUCCUACGGGAGGCAGCAGUAGGGAAUCUUCCGCAAGGGGCGAAAGCCUGACGGAGCAACGCCGCGUGAGUGAUGAAGGUCUUCGGAUCGUAAAACUCUGUUAUUAGGGAAGAACAAAUGUGUAAGUAACUAUGCACGUCUUGACGGUACCUAAUCAGAAAGCCACGGCUAACUACG
Molecule: ribosomal RNA, 495 nt
Filed under: uncultured bacterium
Lineage: Bacteria
Description: partial 16S ribosomal RNA
Rfam family: Bacterial small subunit ribosomal RNA
Source: RNAcentral